Molecule: long non-coding RNA, 261 nt
Filed under: Vitis vinifera (wine grape)
Lineage: Eukaryota; Viridiplantae; Streptophyta; Magnoliopsida; Vitales; Vitaceae
Description: long non-coding RNA (VVIN_LNC007171)
Source: RNAcentral
ACCCAUGUAACAAGCAGAGGAUCAGUGACUCCCAACCAAUAAAGGCUUAGGGCACCAGGCUUUAAAGGCUUUCGCCACCCCUUCGGACCAUGCUCAGGUUUCAAGGCAAGCAAAGAAGUUUAUUCUAUAUUUUUUUUCUUUUUCUUUUUCUUUUUCUUUUUUCUAUUUUUUCAAAGACUCAUUGGUCUUUAUGAGGUGUCCCAACACUAUUAAAGAGAGGUUAAAGGUGUCAAAUUAUGAUUUCUCAAGCUUAGAGGGUGA